Molecule: non-coding RNA, 107 nt
Organism: Capsicum annuum
Lineage: Eukaryota; Viridiplantae; Streptophyta; Magnoliopsida; Solanales; Solanaceae
Source: Rfam
UGAUGAUGGUGAGGGAAAUUUUUUAGCAUUCCCUUAAAUCUCUCCCAAACUUGGUAGAGAUUCUCUCCUUCUUUCAGUCUGAAAAUCAAGAUUUCUCUUCUCAAACA